GCGGACGGAUGUGGCUCUUACGGAGCGCGAACAUUUCCCCCCGUUUUAAAAGUGUGCAGCCGUUUUGUGAAGAACAUUGAGAAGGACAUACUGAGAGGACGCGUGCAAAGAAUACGUCGGACACCCAAUUCGAUGUCGGCAAUUUCCCCAGCAAGACCGGGAUACAAAGCGAGGCUAAUCUGAGCGCCGACAUAGUUAAGAGCUGUUCUCGUAAGGUACAAGAUGGCCAAUAAUUAGUUUUAUAUGACAAUGUACUCGAGCGAGGACUUCGUAUAAUUUAAAUCGAACUUCAUGUACACUUCUUCUCAUAAAACGAUGCAAUGCAGUGGAUCCCUCAGGAAAUUCGACAACCUCUUGGAAAGGAAUUUACAAGAUAAAUAUUGGUUAUGCCAUACAAGACGCGAGGAGAGAUCGAUCAGCAUCAAAAAAGAAAAAGACUAGACAUAGAGAACGUCGAGGAAACUAGGCUGAUAUUUUUUUAUGAAUCGUUUUUCAUUUUAAAGCACAAUUUUUUUAAUUCUUUUUAAUGCGCGAUAUUUCAAUUCGUUUUAAUACGCAAUGUUUUAAUUUGUUAAUGUGUUCUCAAAAUAAAUGUAAUUCGAACUUUUCCUCCAUUCAUCCCUGAACUAAACAAUUAAAUUUUCAGUGGAAAUUGAAAUCUCAAAUUUAAAAAAAAUGUUAAUUUGUUCGUCAUAAAACUAAUUAACAUUGAUUAAUUACUCCAUUGGCAUUGCUUUUAUGACGGACAGAUUUGCGCACAAUAUACUGCGCAGCGUACAAGUGCGUAUGACCAACACCGUAUAAUAAGGUCUCUGCUUGUAUGCGGAAGUGUCCUUGUGCAGCACUAUUUUCUGUGCUCUCGUUCGAGUUUGAGCUUCUUAUGCCUUUCUUUCAAAUAAAGUGCCUUUA
Molecule: long non-coding RNA, 909 nt
Organism: Phymastichus coffea
Lineage: Eukaryota; Metazoa; Arthropoda; Insecta; Hymenoptera; Eulophidae
Exons: 3
Source: RefSeq, a predicted model, not a curated record